Molecule: ribosomal RNA, 253 nt
Filed under: uncultured bacterium
Lineage: Bacteria
Description: partial 16S ribosomal RNA
Rfam family: Bacterial small subunit ribosomal RNA
Source: RNAcentral
UACGUAGGGGGCAAGCGUUGUCCGGAAUCAUUGGGCGUAAAGCGCGCGUAGGCGGCCCUGUAAGUCCGUUGUGAAAGUCAAAGGCUCAACCUUUGAAAGCCGAUGGAUACUGCAGGGCUAGAGUCCGGAAGAGGCGAGUGGAAUUCCUGGUGUAGCGGUGAAAUGCGCAGAUAUCAGGAGGAACACCAAUGGCGAAGGCAGCUCGCUGGGACGGUACUGACGCUGAGACGCGAAAGCGUGGGGAGCAAACAGG